This 442-nucleotide ribosomal RNA is filed under the name Catonella sp. oral taxon 164. Its description in RNAcentral is "bacterial SSU rRNA". It matches the Rfam family "Bacterial small subunit ribosomal RNA", at positions 28 to 450 of the family's 1533-position model. Lineage: Bacteria; Bacillati; Bacillota; Clostridia; Lachnospirales; Lachnospiraceae. The record is from RNAcentral.
GAUGAACGCUGGCGGCGUGCCUAACACAUGCAAGUCGAACGGAGAUUACAGACGGAAGUUUUCGGAUGGAAGUCAGUAAUUCUUAGUGGCGGACGGGUGAGUAACGCGUGGGCAACCUGCCCUAUACAGGGGGAUAGCAGCUGGAAACGGCUGGUAAGACCGCAUAAGUCGUUCUGGUCGCAUGACCGGGACGGGAAAUGAGUAAUCAGGUAUAGGAUGGGCCCGCGUCCGAUUAGCCAGUUGGCAGGGUAAGAGCCUACCAAAGCAACGAUCGGUAGCCGGACUGAGAGGUCGGACGGCCACAUUGGGACUGAGACACGGCCCAAACUCCUACGGGAGGCAGCAGUGGGGGAUAUUGCACAAUGGAGGAAACUCUGAUGCAGCGACGCCGCGUGAGUGAAGAAGUAUUUCGGUAUGUAAAGCUCUAUCAGCAGGGAAGAUG